This 1170-nucleotide ribosomal RNA is filed under the name Providencia rettgeri. RNAcentral's name for it is "partial 23S ribosomal RNA". It matches the Rfam family "Bacterial large subunit ribosomal RNA", at positions 1763 to 2925 of the family's 2925-position model. RNAcentral also lists the same sequence under 1 other name. The record is from RNAcentral. Lineage: Bacteria; Pseudomonadati; Pseudomonadota; Gammaproteobacteria; Enterobacterales; Morganellaceae.
GGAGCUGAAGCCAGUCGCAGAUACCAGCUGGCUGCAACUGUUUAUUAAAAACACAGCACUGUGCAAACACGAAAGUGGACGUAUACGGUGUGACGCCUGCCCGGUGCUGGAAGGUUAAUUGAUGGGGUUAUCCGUAAGGAGAAGCUCUUGAUCGAAGCCCCAGUAAACGGCGGCCGUAACUAUAACGGUCCUAAGGUAGCGAAAUUCCUUGUCGGGUAAGUUCCGACCUGCACGAAUGGCGUAAUGAUGGCCAGGCUGUCUCCACCCGAGACUCAGUGAAAUUGAACUCGCUGUGAAGAUGCAGUGUACCCGCGGCAAGACGGAAAGACCCCGUGAACCUUUACUAUAGCUUGACACUGAACAUUGAGCCUUGAUGUGUAGGAUAGGUGGGAGGCUUUGAAGUGUGGACGCCAGUCUGCAUGGAGCCAACCUUGAAAUACCACCCUUUAAUGUUUGAUGUUCUAACGUUGCCCCGUUAUCCGGGGUGCGGACAGUGUCUGGUGGGUAGUUUGACUGGGGCGGUCUCCUCCCAAAGAGUAACGGAGGAGCACGAAGGUUGGCUAAGCAUGGUCGGACAUCAUGCGGUUAGUGCAAAGGCAUAAGCCAGCUUGACUGCGAGAGUGACGGCUCGAGCAGGUACGAAAGUAGGUCUUAGUGAUCCGGUGGUUCUGAAUGGAAGGGCCAUCGCUCAACGGAUAAAAGGUACUCCGGGGAUAACAGGCUGAUACCGCCCAAGAGUUCAUAUCGACGGCGGUGUUUGGCACCUCGAUGUCGGCUCAUCACAUCCUGGGGCUGAAGUAGGUCCCAAGGGUACGGCUGUUCGCCGUUUAAAGUGGUACGCGAGCUGGGUUUAGAACGUCGUGAGACAGUUCGGUCCCUAUCUGCCGUGGGCGUUGGAAGAUUGAAAGGGGCUGCUCCUAGUACGAGAGGACCGGAGUGGACGCACCACUGGUGUUCGGGUUGUCAUGCCAAUGGCAUUGCCCGGUAGCUAAGUGCGGAAGAGAUAACCGCUGAAAGCAUCUAAGCGGGAAACUUGCCUUGAGAUGAGUCUUCCCUGACCCUUUAAGGGUCCUAAAGGAACGUUUAAGACUAAGACGUUGAUAGGUUGGGUGUGUAAGCAUAGCGAUAUGUUGAGCUAACCAAUACUAAUGAACCGUGAGGCUUAACCUG